Long non-coding RNA from Phyllopteryx taeniolatus (common seadragon), 654 nucleotides. RefSeq lists it as uncharacterized. The transcript has 3 exons. The record is from RefSeq and is a predicted model, not a curated record. Lineage: Eukaryota; Metazoa; Chordata; Actinopteri; Syngnathiformes; Syngnathidae.
CAGGGGCCGCUGCAUCCUCCCAUCGCAAGGCGAGGAAGAAGGAAGAUAUGGUGUGCUUGCACAAACACGGCUUCCCAAAAGUGAUUAGCACGCAGUCUGUCUAAUAGUGAAGCGCACGUGAAGAGGACGGCCUGUCACGCUCACAUGAAACAUAGAAGGCAGACUAUUCUGGUCCUACGAAAAUCCUCAAGCAGAAUGUUCAGCCAUCGGUUCAUGACCUCAAGGCUCAGGCUCUUUCCCUGCCAGAGAGGUGAAGUUCCACGUCCCUAGAGCCGGCUUCUGUAGCCGGGGAUCGGACCGCCAAGGUCCCCGCCUUGGGCCGCCGCCCAACUCGGCAACACGGCGCCCCCAGGUGCAAGGCGCCAAGGGAGCCCACAGGAAGGGAACCGACGUUGCCUCUUCGGGCUGUGCCCGGCUGGGCCCCAUGGUUGCAGGCCCGGCCACCAGGCCACCUCCAAAGGGGGGCACUUGACCCUUCACCCCCCCGGCAAGGGAAAACAUGGUUCAAUAAUUUUUUUUUUAAUUGAGGGUUUUAAGCCGUGCUUUUUCGGGUCAAUCACCUUUGCUUUUAUAUGUAUUAUUAUAUAAAUAUUCUUAUAAUUUAAUUGUAGACGUGUUAUUUACUUGCAUUCCUGAGCAGACUUUUGCUUUGGU